AAAAAAAUAACUAAGCCAACAGAGUAAUAGAUGUUAGAGAUUAUGUAGGGAUUAAUGGGCCCAUGAGAUGAGAGACCCAUAAUCCGGAGGAAGCAUGUAAUGUCCCACAUCGGAAAAGUGGGAGGGACCUUGACUAAUAUAUAAGAGAUAUGAGCCACUCCACUUAUUGCCAAUUGGUUUUAGGUUGGAAGCCCAUACGACUUUAAUAGGUGGAAUGACUCAUAUCUCUUAUAUAUUAGUCAAGGUCCUUCCCACCUUUCCGAUGUGGGACAUUACAUGCUUUUUCAGGAUUAUGGGCCUCCCAUCUCAUGGGCCCAUUAAUCCCUUCCUAAUCUCUAACAAUAGAGCAUGUUAGCUAAUGAUUCAUACUUGUUAUGCUGCUUGUUUCUUCACAGACGGCGCAAGACUUGCAGAGGUCACGAGAUGUAUGCGGGCGUUGUU
RNAcentral lists this small RNA (441 nucleotides) under Arabidopsis thaliana (thale cress). RNAcentral's name for it is "ATSL023140". Lineage: Eukaryota; Viridiplantae; Streptophyta; Magnoliopsida; Brassicales; Brassicaceae. The record is from RNAcentral.